Molecule: transfer RNA, 73 nt
Filed under: Bos taurus (domestic cattle)
Lineage: Eukaryota; Metazoa; Chordata; Mammalia; Artiodactyla; Bovidae
Also listed under: 3 other names
Rfam family: tRNA
About the family: Transfer RNA (tRNA) molecules are approximately 80 nucleotides in length. Their secondary structure includes four short double-helical elements and three loops (D, anti-codon, and T loops).
Source: Rfam by way of RNAcentral
UCCCUGGCAGUCCAGUGGUUGAGAUUCUGCACUUCCAAUGCAGGGGACACGGGUUCAAUCCCUGGUCCGGGAA